GGGUCUCCAAUAUUUUGUUCUAUAACAAAACAUCCACGUGUUCAUUUAAGUGUCACCACACUUUAACUUGUGAGAUCAACUACUUACUUCACAAGUAAGAAAUGCCACAAGUGAUGAUCUGUCCAUAAUAAGAUAUCCGUAUCUCGUUAUUACAAACGACCAUGGACGAUCUAAGAUUCAAUCAUAUGUAAUUUGUAUCUCACAAUCACAACUCCUUGUGAUUAACAAAUUAUGAAGAUUUGAAUCUAGGGACUCUAUUAUUUAAUUUAAUUGUCUACUAAUUAAAUAAUAGAUCUGCCAUUAAAUUGCAUUAAUUAUAUAUCAAAAGAUUUAUGUCCAAGGUUGAUUGGACCUAGGGCAUAACACUUACAAACUCCCACUUGCACUAGAUCCAAUCACUUAUGUAUCCAAUAUCAUAAGAGUCUACAUGAUGAUCAUGUUUAAGCUACGACAACUUUUUGUCAGUGGAUCUGCAAUAUUCUUAAAUGUGGGAAUUUGUUCUUUUCUUUACGUCAUUUCUAUGUAUUAUUUCUCUUAUAAGAUUAUACCGCCUUAAUAUAUGUUUGGAUCAUUGAUGAGACCUUAGUUCCUUUGCUUUCGCGAUGGCUCUAUUGUUAUCAAAAUAAAAUGGCAUGUGAUCAACAAUAUCAGGAACUACUCUAAGUUCAUUUAUGAACGCCACGAUCCAUAU
This 691-nucleotide long non-coding RNA is filed under the name Olea europaea (common olive). Its description in RNAcentral is "long non-coding RNA (OEUR_LNC008362)". Lineage: Eukaryota; Viridiplantae; Streptophyta; Magnoliopsida; Lamiales; Oleaceae. The record is from RNAcentral.